This 738-nucleotide ribosomal RNA is filed under the name uncultured Corynebacterium sp. RNAcentral describes it as "bacterial SSU rRNA". It matches the Rfam family "Bacterial small subunit ribosomal RNA", at positions 28 to 776 of the family's 1533-position model. The record is from RNAcentral. Lineage: Bacteria; Bacillati; Actinomycetota; Actinomycetes; Mycobacteriales; Corynebacteriaceae.
GAUGAACGCUGGCGGCGUGCUUAACACAUGCAAGUCGAACGGAAAGGCCCAAGCUUGCUUGGGUACUCGAGUGGCGAACGGGUGAGUAACACGUGGGUGAUCUGCCCUGCACUUCGGGAUAAGCCUGGGAAACUGGGUCUAAUACCGGAUAGGACCACUUCUUGGAUGUUGUGGUGGAAAGUUUUUUCGGUGUGGGAUGAGCUCGCGGCCUAUCAGCUUGUUGGUGGGGUAAUGGCCUACCAAGGCGUCGACGGGUAGCCGGCCUGAGAGGGUGUACGGCCACAUUGGGACUGAGAUACGGCCCAGACUCCUACGGGAGGCAACAGUGGGGAAUAUUGCACAAUGGGCGCAAGCCUGAUGCAGCGACGCCGCGUGGGGGAUGACGGCCUUCGGGUUGUAAACUCCUUUCGCUAGGGACGAAGCGUUUUUGUGACGGUACCUGGAGAAGAAGCACCGGCUAACUACGUGCCAGCAGCCGCGGUAAUACGUAGGGUGCGAGCGUUGUCCGGAAUUACUGGGCGUAAAGAGCUCGUAGGUGGUUUGUCGCGUCGUUUGUGUAAGCCCGCAGCUUAACUGCGGGACUGCAGGCGAUACGGGCAUAACUUGAGUGCUGUAGGGGAGACUGGAAUUCCUGGUGUAGCGGUGGAAUGCGCAGAUAUCAGGAGGAACACCGAUGGCGAAGGCAGGUCUCUGGGCAGUAACUGACGCUGAGGAGCGAAAGCAUGGGGAGCGAACAGG